Thunnus maccoyii (southern bluefin tuna) is the source of this 927-nucleotide long non-coding RNA. RefSeq lists it as uncharacterized. Lineage: Eukaryota; Metazoa; Chordata; Actinopteri; Scombriformes; Scombridae. The record is from RefSeq and is a predicted model, not a curated record. The transcript is spliced from 3 exons.
UGUAUAUAUGUUUAUAUACACACACACACACAAACACACACACAUAUAUAUGAUAACACAGUCCUGAUCCCUAUUUACUAUAUGGUGCACUACAAUUAUCUUCCACCAUUAAAAACUCCCACAAUUCAAGUAGUGUCCAUGGCAAAAAUUACAGUCACAAAAUAUUGAUGACUGAUAGAUGUCCAAAAUCUCAAUUUCCUGAUGAUUAUAGAGGGGACUACUGGGUGUCUGUGGAGAAUAGUGAACAAGGGAGUGAUUUCAAACUCUGCCAUAUUCUUUGGAUGCUUUUCAUAGAAUGUUCUGGAAUGUUUAUAUCUCCUCCAUGUUUCAGGGGACAACAGUUGCUAAGUACAAAACAAUGGUUGCUAUGUGUUGAUUUGCAAACAAAAGUGUUACACCAGUGGAAUAUAGUGUAUGAAAAAAGUGGGGGUCAAAAAUUAGCUGCGCAAAGCCUCUUGCUGCUGCUAACUAACUCUAGUGGCUUGCUUGAUCACAAUAAAUUACUGAGCAUCAGUGCCAGACUUUGUCCUGGUGGAGUAUGACUGGUUUAAAAGAACACCACAUGGUUUCUUUUUCUAUCCAAACACCUCACAUCUUCAAAUAUCAUAGCUUUAGAUGAAGGUAGAAGGAUUAUGUUGUUUAUGUCGCAGCAAGGGGACCAAGUUUGACUUGAAAAUCUGCCAUAUUCUUCCUUGGAGGGUGCUGCAGCACCCACUCUGGGAACCACUGGCCUAGACGUUUGAGACUUUUGAGGUAGCUGGGAUUCUCUGAGAACUCUCUGAAAUCAGUGGGCAGGUUGAGCUCCAGCACCAAGAGCCAAGCCCUGAGGCUACAUUCACCUGGGGGGGAGUUAAUGUCAUCACUCCCCACUCCCUGCUGUUCUGAGCUUAAUGUUUCUUUGUUGGGAAUGAUUAGGUCAGAUCCCUG